This 429-nucleotide ribosomal RNA is filed under the name Verrucomicrobiota bacterium. RNAcentral's name for it is "Verrucomicrobia bacterium partial 16S ribosomal RNA". It matches the Rfam family "Bacterial small subunit ribosomal RNA", at positions 355 to 776 of the family's 1533-position model. Lineage: Bacteria; Pseudomonadati; Verrucomicrobiota. The record is from RNAcentral.
UAGGGAAUCUUCCGCAAUGGACGCAAGUCUGACGGAGCAACGCCGCGUGAGUGAAGAAGGUUUUCGGAUCGUAAAACUCUGUUGUAAGAGAAGAACAAAUUGUAGAGUAACUGCUACAGUCUUGACGGUAUCUUACCAGAAAGCCACGGCUAAUUACGUGCCAGCAGCCGCGGUAAUACGUAAGGGGCGAGCGUUGUCCGGAAUUAUUGGGCGUAAAGAGUGCGUAGGCGGCAAAUUAAGUCAGAUGUGAAAACUAAGGGCUCAACCCAUAGAUUGCAUCUGAAACUGAUAUGCUUGAGUCAAGGAGAGGAAAGUGGAAUUCCUAGUGUAGCGGUGGAAUGCGUAGAUAUUAGGAGGAAUACCGGUGGCGAAGGCGACUUUCUGGACUUGAACUGACGCUGAGGCACGAAAGCGUGGGGAGCAAACAGG